UAUGAUACCUGCGUCUUCUCAUAUUAAUAUAUUAUACAUACGAACGCAAUCGCAAAAAUCUUUCUCUGUUUCUAAUUUUCUUCAGAUUCGAUUCUCUCACUUCUUGAAUUCUACUUGUCUUUUUUUUAUUUUUUUCUUUUCUGGGUUUUUCUCCCAUUGAAGAUUUUAACACAGCCAUACAAUAGAUAAUAAUAUUUCAAUUGAAGUUUAUGAAUAGUAACCUUACCUUUGAACUCUUCAAUGGUGUUUCAUUCUCUCAUUGAAAAGAAGGAAACGCCGGAGCAACCCCUUGACGUUAUGGCUUCUUCAACGACAGUCAAAUCUCAGCCUCUUCAUAACUUUUCUUUGCCUGACUUAAAAUGGGCCAUGAACCAUACAAACACUCAUCGUUUUCGUAAACUCUCCGACUCUUCUCACAAAUCACCCUCAAACGACGCCGAUGGUGAGUCCGGGUAUCCAAAGCAGAACCCGGUUCCUGAAGGUAUGAAAAUCGGUGAUGGAAUUGACAAGUCCGACAAGAAGAAAUCGACGGUGCUUGUUUCAACGGAUGAUUUGGUUGAGAAUUCAGAGAAGAAACCGAACGAUUCAUCUGAUGGUAGUAGAUCGAAGGUUUUCUUAAGAAUUCGUACUAAGAACACUAAAACUGCUGAUGAGGUUGCGGAUACAGGGGAUCAUAUAGACGCCGCCGAAGAGCCAGUUCCGAAGACGUGGAACUUAAGGCCGAGAAAAGUGAUCGCUAAAGUUAGUAAUAAUGAUGCGAUCGGAGGAGGUGCGGUGCCGGAUAACAAAGCCCAGCCAUCGAGUCGCCCUGAAUUGACUCGCAACCGGAAUAUCUUAACCACCGAGACGAAAGUUCCGGAGAAGAAAGAGAAAGAAAAAGAAAAGAAGCAAAAGUUCUCGAUCUCGCUUUCGAAGGAAGAGAUUGAAAAUGACUUUCUUAUUCUAACUGGGUCCAAGCCCGCCAGGAGACCUAAGAAGAGAGCGAAGAAUGUGCAGAAUCAACUCGAUUUUGCUUUUCCGGGUUUGUGGUUGGCUUCCAUAACGCCUGAUUCUUACCGGGUUAAUGAUGGUCCGGCCAAGGGUUAGAUGGGAUAUUGAUGUUUUAUAGUUUGGGGGAAAAUGGAAGGUGGAUGACUGCAGUUAGAAGGUUUUUAUGUCUGCUGAAGGUGUGAUAGUGGUGAGACAAAUAAUCUAUUCUCUUCAUAUGGUUGAGUUAUUGAAGCAUGGGAAAUUGAAUAAUUGGUUAAGUUUAUUUUGAUUAGAUAUCAUUGUUUUUUAAGUCUCAUUCCCAAGGGAUGGCAAUAAAAUAACAGAAUUCAUUUUCAGUAUCAUGAUUCUAAUAGAUUUUCGAUGUGUUCUUUCUGGGCAUGUUUAUUAUCAGCUUGCAGGUAUUCUCUAAGGAAGUAAAGAUGUAUUUGGUAGAUGAUGUGAGUAUGAGCAUUAGGUGUUAUUGGCUGCCGAUUUUGAGGACGCUGUAUGUCUGGUAUAAAAUGACUUUUCAACCUGCAUGGGCAAAGAUUCCUUUUCAGUAAAUUGUUGAUUUUGUUAGAAAUUUAAAUGUUUUGCAAGGCUUGAGAUUUGGCUAUUCAGAUCUAGUGCAUUAUGAAGUCUCUCAGCUGAUAUCAUAUUGUCAUAAUCAACUGUGUCUAUGGAUUGUAUUGUUCAUAGUAGUUACCUGUAUUGAAAAAUGGGCUUCAUCAUCGAGUUGCAUCUGAUAUCUAUUUUAUAGUUAAGUUUACUGCUGACAGAUGCUCAUUUUUUGGCAUGAAUCUAGUUAAGAUUUCUUUCUACAAUUCAGCAUGAAGCAUAUGAUUAAGCACUUUAUCGCAACCUUGACUCAGUUGAAUUUGUUAUUUCAUAUCCCCUUGCUGUAAUUCAUAGAACGUCCUCAUUUGCAGCUUGAUACAUGUCUUGCUUUGCUGAAUAGCUACAAGGGCAGAUCUCAGCAUGAUGGUGGAUUGAGUCAAAUUACAAAGUCAGUUACAUUGACAAAGGUUCUGAAUGAUCUGAUCUUAGAUAUUUUGUUCUGCUAUAUGAAAGCAUAGAUGCUUCACAAGAGUGACGCUCUGUUGUCAGCCUAAGGGAUGUUACAUGAAGUGAAAGCUCUUUGAAAGUUAAUAAAGUUACUCUGUAUUCUGAAAUGCAGUCAAUGUUCCUCGAUGCAUUCUGCCUUGUGCCCAACUGCCAAGAAAUUGAAUUCUCAAAACUGCACGUUCCAAUUUCUUUGCACAGGCAUUGUAGACUAACGUGAGAUAACAGGAUGCAUAUUCAUUGCUUGUUAUUCUAGUAUGAACAAAGUUUCCAUAUAGCUUCCUUGGUUUUAGACAAAUUGGAUUGACAAUUGUCUUUCAUUCCAAGGCAUAAUUUUUUUUCCGUACCUUCAUAUUUGUUUGGACUUUGCUCCCAGCAACAUAAUUUGUAUCCCACUGGUUUAAAUUUGCCAGGAGUUUGCUCA
This is an RNA transcript of Mangifera indica (mango), 2455 nucleotides long. RefSeq lists it as uncharacterized. The transcript is spliced from 5 exons. The record is from RefSeq and is a predicted model, not a curated record. NCBI's taxonomy places the organism in Eukaryota, Viridiplantae, Streptophyta, Magnoliopsida, Sapindales, Anacardiaceae.